RNAcentral lists this ribosomal RNA (234 nucleotides) under uncultured bacterium. RNAcentral's name for it is "partial 16S ribosomal RNA". It matches the Rfam family "Bacterial small subunit ribosomal RNA", at positions 15 to 244 of the family's 1533-position model. The record is from RNAcentral.
GAUCAUGGCUCAGGACGAACGCUGGCGGCGCACCUAACACAUGCAAGUCGAACGAGCGAGAGAGAGCUUGCUUUCUCGAGCGAGUGGCGAACGGGUGAGUAACGCGUGAGGAACCUGCCUCAAAGAGGGGGACAACAGUUGGAAACGACUGCUAAUACCGCAUAAGCCCACGGCUCGGCAUCGAGCAGAGGGAAAAGGAGUAAUCCGCUUUGAGAUGGCCUCGCGUCCGAUUAG